GCAAGUUCGAAGGAGCUCUCUCUCACUGUAAUCCACACUUUUCCCUGCACAGUCGACUAAUGUUUGGCGGACGGACCAAAGGAUAUAUAAAUACAAGUUGACUAGGAGGCAUAUUCAGUACGCAAUACUUUUUCCAUUUAACUAUUACUCUAAAAUUUUGCCUCAUACCCUAUUCAGUCUCUUUGAUUACCCUUUGUUAUUACAAACUGGUUUUUUAUUCUUUGGAUCAAGUUAGAUUGACAGUGUCAAGUAUGUAGAUACUUACAUGAUCAUAAAUAAAUCCAUUUCACGCUUGCAUAUUUCGCUCGUAGACAAAACUUCUGCAUAAUCCCACUACUGGCCUAUAAAAUGAGGAAUUGGUAGAGAAAUAUAAAUCGAUACUUGGAACUAAAAAGUUCAUUUUACCGGUAUUUCUCCUCUAAUUCACAAUUUUGUGUCUUUCAAUAUUUCGUAACAUUUGCUUCUAUGCACAAUUCUGGCUGUUGGUAAGUCAAAUUUUGAAGGGAACAAAGACAAUAUUUGAAAAUGGCAAGAUGUUCUUGGAUUUGCUGCAUACCAUACUGUGUUUUAAAGUUGUUUCAUUG
Molecule: long non-coding RNA, 584 nt
Filed under: Olea europaea subsp. europaea
Lineage: Eukaryota; Viridiplantae; Streptophyta; Magnoliopsida; Lamiales; Oleaceae
Source: RNAcentral